This 1461-nucleotide long non-coding RNA is filed under the name Salvia miltiorrhiza (redroot sage). RNAcentral's name for it is "long non-coding RNA (SMIL_LNC006211)". Lineage: Eukaryota; Viridiplantae; Streptophyta; Magnoliopsida; Lamiales; Lamiaceae. The record is from RNAcentral.
UGGCACCUAAACUAAUACAAACGAGUCUGAAAAGAAAAAUAACCCAAAUCAACACUCAAAAUUGAAGAAGUUUUGAAAAAUUGAAGAACUCAUCGUCGGGCAAGGGCACCUACGCUCGUCGCCGGUCCAGGCUCGUCGCCGCCACGAAAUCACCCGCGAUCGCCGCCCCAUCUCAGGUAUUCUUCCGCCGCCACGAUCUUAGCAGCCAUGUUUGAGAUUGAAUCCUCUCAUUCAAAUACAUCAUUAUCAGGAACAUCCAUAUAAUCUUGCCCCCCUACAUACUCCUUGUCAUCAGCCACAAAAGAACCACCAUGCCACAUUCUAAGAAGAACAAUAAGGGCCAUUUCUGUAUGGAAAAGAAAAAAAAGAUAAUCAACUUGAGAACAACAAAACUCAUGGAAAAAUUCGAAGCCCAAAACUCUUGACUGACUAAAACUCAUAGAACAAAUCAUGGCACACGAGAUUAGAGAAGCCCAAAACGACAAAUACGAAACACAUCAGCAAAAUUCGAAGAACUUCGAAAAACAAAAGAUAAUGAAGAGAUUGUUUGGAAGAAUCAAGUUUUUACGCAAAGUAUAAUGGAGGUUAAUUUAAUCUGGAGUUGAGAAAAUAAAAACAAAAGAAGAAAAAAGAAAAUGUGUGCGUGUGUGUGGGAGAACAAACUCGCAAUGAAACACAAGAGAGAGAUAGUGAGAAAGGGAGGGGGAGGAGAGAGAGAGAGAGAUACCAGUGGCGAUGCACAGUGACAAGCUUCGACGGACGAUUCAGAGACGACCUUCGGAUUGAUUGGAUCGACUGGAAUGAUUUGGGAAUCAUUUUCUCUACUUCAAUUGAUUCCCGCGACAGCUUCAGAUUGAUUGUUCUUUCUUCUUCAAUUGCAAGCAUCGUGCGAGAGUUCCAUUCUAUACUUAGGGUAUUUUUUCUUAUUUCAUUUGGGGGAAUUCUCCACUUAGGGCUAAUGUGCCACAUAAAUAUUUGUAUUUUGUUUUUUAAAAGUUUAAUAAUGAUGAAAAUUCCAAGUGGAUUAAUAAAUCCACGUAUUAAUUUUUGGCAUGCCACGUCAACUUUCGGGCGUCGAAUUUUUUUUAGGGGACACAAUUGAAAAUAUGUUGGUAGGUUGGGUACCAAUUAGAUAUUAUCGAUAAGUUGUGACAUAAUAGAUAAUUCGGCCAAACGAUUGGACAUAAAGUGAUAUUUACCCUUAUUUUUAUUUGGGAAAAGGUGCAGAAUGGCCCCCGAAGUAGUAGCCCCUAUAGCGUAUAACCCCUCUUACUCACUGUGUGUGCAACUAAACCUCUGAACUCCGAGAAAAUGGUGCAAAUUCCCCCCUCUGACCUAACGUCGUUAAGUGUCCGUUAACGUUUGGGUUUAAUUGCACCCUCUACUUUAGGGGUGGAUCUGCACCUUAAUUUUAUUUUAUUUUAUUUUUUUAUAAUUUCAGCAACCCACCUCCGGCAUCAN